GGUAACAGACAGGCCGUGGGUAGACGCUCCGGUUUCCGCACUGUGGCUAGAUAAACGCGGCUCUCCUAGAGCCAGAAUGAGGCACAGCCUUGAAAGAAACCACAGCCCCAGCGCUUUAUGUUUAAUUUACUUUUUUGAAGAACUGGGAUUGCCCUCCCCGCUUCAGUUAUUCUAAACUAAUGAGACGACCUGAAGGAAUGUACUGAGACCUCUGCGUUCGGUUGGGCUCUCAUCCAAAGAGCUUGGCGUCCCCUGGUGGCCAUGGAAACACAGAGCCUGCACCCCACCCCCACCCCCCGGCCAGGAUCUGCAGCGGGCGGGGAAGCCCGCGCUGGACGUCGCCCUCCUGGUACCAAAGAUUAAACCCAGCGACUAGGACAUGCUGGGCAAGCCCUCUACACCUGAGCUACGCUCCAGAACUUUUUAUUUGAGACAGGAUCUCUAAAUUGCCCAGGCUGCCCUUGAAUUUGAGCCGCUUCCAUGUCAGCCCUCCAAGCAGCUGGGACUGCAGGUGUGCACCAGCACAGCUGGCUUUAAGCAUCUUGCCUGGUAAAUGCUGUAGACAGCCUAGCAGCUCCUUUGGAACAUAGCAUUUAUUUUAAACUUAGUAGCUGAGUCAAACCAGUAAUAUGACAUUUACGGCAUGAUUAAUAGGAAAAAAGAAACCGGGGAAACACUAUGUGCUUAACAAUAUUGGUUCAAUAAAUGAGAGGACAUUCAGACCGUAUGAAGAACAGGAGCGGGUGUCCAAGAUGUAUCAUGUGAGCAAGUGAGUAUUCAGGAUUGCCACCGAGACGUCUCACAGGAGAGGAGGUCUUCACACGUGUGUCUUUAUAUGCACAGGAUGUUUCUGGUUCUAUGUGCUAGAAACUGGAAUCCACUGCUUCUAAGAUCACACAGUCAUUUCAAGUUACGAUUAUGAAGAUCAACGAAGCAACAUGGAAAAAUCUUAUGAUGUAAAGCGAAGAAUGCAGGACUCCAAGUGAGUAUAAGCAUUGUACUCUCAGCUGUGUCAAGAUAUGCAAAUAAAAGAG
Non-coding RNA from Heterocephalus glaber (naked mole-rat), 1034 nucleotides. NCBI's taxonomy places the organism in Eukaryota, Metazoa, Chordata, Mammalia, Rodentia, Bathyergidae. The record is from RefSeq and is a predicted model, not a curated record.